This 433-nucleotide ribosomal RNA is filed under the name uncultured bacterium. RNAcentral describes it as "partial 16S ribosomal RNA". It matches the Rfam family "Bacterial small subunit ribosomal RNA", at positions 29 to 507 of the family's 1533-position model. The record is from RNAcentral.
AACGAACGCUGGCGGCAUGCCUAACACAUGCAAGUCGAACGAAACCUUCCGGUUUUGGGGCGGACCGCUGCUUACCACGUGGGAACUUGCCCUUAUGUUCGCAGUAACUCCCCUAAGGGUGUCUUUAGGCAACAUGGGGUCUUCGGUCCUAAGAUUUAUUGCUGUUUGAUGGGCCCUCGUUAGAUUAGGUAGUUGGUAGGGUAACAGCCUACCAAGGCGACGAUUCAUAGCUGGUAUGAGAGGAUGAUCAUCCACACUGGGACUGAGACACGGCCCAGACUCCUACGGGAGGCAGCAGUGGGGAAUAUUGGACAAUGGGGGCAAACCUGAUCCAGCCAUGCCGCGUGAGCGAUGAAGGCCUUAGGGUUGUAAAGAUCUUUCAGCUGGGAAGAUAAUGACGGUACCAGCAGAAGAAGCCCCGGCUAACUCCGUG